This 258-nucleotide long non-coding RNA is filed under the name Brassica napus (rape). RNAcentral describes it as "long non-coding RNA (BNAP_LNC001661)". The record is from RNAcentral. Lineage: Eukaryota; Viridiplantae; Streptophyta; Magnoliopsida; Brassicales; Brassicaceae.
AAGUAAACCGACCCUAACCACCCUAGACCGAACCGGACGACCCUAACCCUACCCCCAACCCCCGCGACUCUAUCUCUCUCACUCUCCCCUCCUCUCACAAACUCACAAACUCUCUCAAACUCACCCACACCAAAAAUCCCAAAACCUUCUCAAUUCUCACCCAAAUCAACUAGUUCUUGUUUCUAAACCAAGCUUUCGCCCCUGUAGCCUAUUCCUCACCACCCAUUCACCAUUUCCUUUCAUCCAGAGCAAGGUAUU